This 406-nucleotide ribosomal RNA is filed under the name uncultured bacterium. RNAcentral's name for it is "bacterial SSU rRNA". It matches the Rfam family "Bacterial small subunit ribosomal RNA", at positions 355 to 776 of the family's 1533-position model. The record is from RNAcentral.
UGGGGAAUAUUGCACAAUGGGCGCAAGCCUGAUGCAGCAACGCCGCGUGAGUGAAGAAGGCCUUCGGGUCGUAAAGCUCUGUCCUGUGGGACGAAACAAAUGACGGUACCACAGGAGGAAGCCCCGGCUAACUACGUGCCAGCAGCCGCGGUAAUACGUAGGGGGCAAGCGUUAUCCGGAAUCACUGGGCGUAAAGGGUGCGUAGGUGGUUCCUCAAGUCAGAAGUGAAAGGCAGUGGCUUAACCACUGUAAGCUUUUGAAACUGAGGAACUUGAGUGCAGGAGAGGUAAGUGGAAUUCCUAGUGUAGCGGUGAAAUGCGUAGAUAUUAGGAGGAACACCAGUGGCGAAGGCGACUUACUGGACUGUAACUGACACUGAGGCACGAAAGCGUGGGGAGCGAACAGG